This 217-nucleotide unclassified non-coding RNA is filed under the name Hevea brasiliensis (rubber tree). Lineage: Eukaryota; Viridiplantae; Streptophyta; Magnoliopsida; Malpighiales; Euphorbiaceae. The record is from RNAcentral.
GGAGAACCAACCAAAUAAAAGCAUCAUAAAAGCUGUUAGACUAUACCACAAUAUUUAGUUUGCUGACAAACAAUAUAUAUUAUAAAAUUACUAUCAUGAAAUAUACUUCUAAUAACUACUGUGAAAUAGCUAACCAAAUGCAGCAAACAGAAGCUACCUCAGUCUGGAAUACUCAAUAACUUUUAACAUGUUGAGAAUAAAAAAAAAAUUAAAAAAC